UGGUCCCCCUGAGUCCAAAGUAAAAGGAGAGGGAAAAACCUGUUGGUGAGAGUGUUGUCGCAGCCCGGUCGAGAGUGGUGGUUCCAGUCCUUCUCUGGAUGUCACAAGUGGUAUCAGAAGUCCCAAGACCCCAAUAUUAUAUAUCCUCAGGUUCAGACAGGAAUGCCCAGUACCCCCCUCAGGGUGGGGAGUUCCACAAUGGGUGUGAGGACAGGAGCAUCCUCCUAUCUCACAGGCCUCUUAACACCC
Long non-coding RNA from Neopelma chrysocephalum (saffron-crested tyrant-manakin), 249 nucleotides. RefSeq lists it as uncharacterized. NCBI's taxonomy places the organism in Eukaryota, Metazoa, Chordata, Aves, Passeriformes, Pipridae. The transcript has 3 exons. The record is from RefSeq and is a predicted model, not a curated record.